CGGAAGCGUGCGGGACGCCUUGGGUCCCAACAUGGCGGCCUCCUGGGCCUCCAGGCCCGCUGCUGCGGAGGCCGUCGCCGCCCGCCUGCUGGGGCUCCUGUGGCUCGUUACUGUCACCGUGGGACCUUGGGCGGUCGCCGCCGCCGGGGACGAGGAGACGUUUAAGUGCGAGGACCUCAAAGUGGGACAAUAUAUUUGUAAGGAUCCCCAAAUAAACAAUGCUACACAAGAACCAGUUAACUGUACAAACUACACAGCUCAUGUCCAGUGUUUUCCAGCACCCAACAUAACUUGUAAGGAUUUAAGCGGCAAUGAAACACAUUUUACUGGAAAUGAAGUUGGUUUUCUCAGGCCCAUAUCAUGCCGAAAUGUAAAUGGCUAUUCGUACAAAGUGGCAGUUGCAUUGUCUCUUUUUCUUGGAUGGUUGGGAGCAGAUCGAUUUUAUCUUGGAUACCCUGCUUUGGCUUCUUUUCUAGGUUUAUUAAAGUUUUGCACUGUAGGAUUUUGUGGAAUUGGGAGCCUAAUUGAUUUUAUUCUUAUUUCAAUGCAGAUUGUUGGACCUUCAGAUGGAACUAGUUACAUUAUAGAUUACUAUGGAACCAGACUUACAAGACUGAGUAUUACUAACGAAACGGUUAGGAAAACACAGUUAUAUCCAUAGGUCCUUAAAAAGAGAAACAGUAGACCUAAGGAAGUUGAGAGCAAGAUGCCCAAGUAACGGAGAAUUGAAAUGAAAUCUAGCUCCUCUGUAAUAUGCUGAAACCUACCUGAGCCACCACUUUGUUUUGUUUUAAGCAUCUUCAUUUUGGAAAUGAUUUCUCCUACUUUAUAAGAAAGGAGUUGAGCCUCCUUGAUUUUAACAAAGAAUACCCAGUAUGUGGAUUUCCAGAUACUCCUUUUUUUCCUUCAUAAACCACUUGAUGGGUUCUAUAUGAUCUUUUUUUUUUUUCCUCAUAUGGUCAUUUUUGAUUUAGGUAAACAUAUUCUCUGGGCACUGGUGGCUCAUACCUGUAAUCCUUACGACAGAGGCUGAGAUCUAGAGGAUUGUAAUUCAAGAACA
This is an RNA transcript of Perognathus longimembris pacificus (Pacific pocket mouse), 1060 nucleotides long. It is a transcript of the gene named TM2 domain containing 1, with no coding region annotated. The transcript is spliced from 8 exons. The record is from RefSeq and is a predicted model, not a curated record. NCBI's taxonomy places the organism in Eukaryota, Metazoa, Chordata, Mammalia, Rodentia, Heteromyidae.